GUUGGAUUAGCUAGUUGGUGAGGUAACGGCUCACCAAGGCGAUGAUCCAUAGCUGGUCUGAGAGGACGAUCAGCAACACUGGGACUGAGACACGGCCCAGACUCCUACGGGAGGCAGCAGUGGGGAAUAUUGGACAAUGGGCGCAAGCCUGAUCCAGCCAUGCCGCGUGAGUGAUGAAGGCCUUAGGGUUGUAAAGCUCUUUUACCAGGGAAGAUAAUGACGGUACCUGGAGAAUAAGCCCCGGCUAACUUCGUGCCAGCAGCCGCGGUAAUACGAAGGGGGCUAGCGUUGCUCGGAAUCACUGGGCGUAAAGCGCACGUAGGUGGGUUUCUAAGUCAGGGGUGAAAUCCUGGAGCUCAACUCCAGAACUGCCUUUGAUACUGGAAAUCUUUGAGUCCGGGAGAGGUGGGUGGAACUGCGAGUGUAGAGGUGAAAUUCGUAGAUAUUCGCAAGAACACCAGUGGCGAAGGCGGCUCACUGG
Molecule: ribosomal RNA, 481 nt
Filed under: uncultured Alphaproteobacteria bacterium
Lineage: Bacteria; Pseudomonadati; Pseudomonadota; Alphaproteobacteria
Description: bacterial SSU rRNA
Rfam family: Bacterial small subunit ribosomal RNA
Source: RNAcentral